CGUCCCCUCCUCUGCUCUGCUCCGCUCUGCGCUAAUAAAUGCCACGCCUCGCCACUAAACCCCCCUUCCUCUGCUGCACAACCUGCCACGAGAUGGCUUCCUGUUCCUCAUCGCCAUGGCCACCCAUCCCUCUCCUCCUCCUCCUGCUCCUCUUCUUCUUCCUCCUCGCCUCCCCCUCCCCCGUCCUCGCCGCACCAGCAGCCUCCUCCCAACAGCAGGCUGAGAGCGGCGGCAAUACGACGGCGGCGGCGUGGACGCCGCGGCUGCGGAAUACGUUCCUGGACGGCGGCGUGGAGCGGUGGCGCGGGCGGCGGCUGGUGGGCCGGUUCCAAGUGUGCGCGGUGUGCACCUGCUGCGGGGGGCCCCACGGGAUGUGCAUCCCGGCGCCCUGCUGCUACGCCAUCAACUGCAACAUCCCCAACCGCCCCUUCGGCGUCUGCUCCUUCACCCCGCGCACCUGCAACUGCCUCAACUGCCACCUCUAGCCGGCCGGAUCCUCCUCCAGGCUUGCCGACGGCGACCGAGAGACCAAUGGAUUCAUGAGGCAGAGGAGAGACUCUUUAUCAUGUGGUUGGUGCGGGGAUGCAGUUUGUUGUGUUAGUGAUGACCAUCAGCUUCUGUUACCGCAGUUAAUCUGAUUUCUUGAGCUUGACAACACGAUUUAAUGAAAAAACAUUCAGGUGUUUUAAUAAGCAAUACUGUUAUGGUUUUUGAACUUACUUGCACAACUUAAUGAAAAAUAACAAUUGGAUGUUGGAGACUUGGAGGGAGCACUGUUACUUGUAUUGUUAGCGCCUUUUUUUUCUUUGUUGUUUUUAUUUUGAACUUGAAACCUGAUCUUUUUAUCAUAAAUAGGAAAGUUUGGCAUGUCUGUGAUGUUGCAUAGAACUGGCAUAACAUGCCUCUGUUCUUGUUGUCCUUAGAUUCCUGUACCUAUAAGCCUGAUGUCUUCUUCAAUGGAAGUCAAUGGUGUGGUUGAACAUUGUCUGUUUUACACUCUUGUUUUCGUCUCAAGCCCUUGUCUCAGUUGACGAUACGUUCAUGCUUUCAUGGCGUUGUCGUUGACACUCGUCCUAAGCUAGGUUUCUGUCCUAUUCGCCUCUUC
This is an RNA transcript of Panicum hallii, 1105 nucleotides long. RefSeq lists it as uncharacterized. The transcript is spliced from 3 exons. The record is from RefSeq and is a predicted model, not a curated record. Lineage: Eukaryota; Viridiplantae; Streptophyta; Magnoliopsida; Poales; Poaceae.